UACGUAGGGGCCUAGCGUUGUCCGGAUUUAUUGGGCGUAAAGCGCGUGUAGGCGGCACGGCAAGUCGGAUGUGAAAGCCCGCGGCUCAACCGUGGAAGUGCACUCGAAACUGCCGAGCUAGAGUCUCGGAGAGGAAGGUGGAAUGCUUGGUGUAGAGGUGAAAUUCGUAGAUAUCAGGCAGAACACCUGUGGCGAAGGCGGCCUUCUGGACGAUGACUGACGCUGAGACGCGAAAGCGUGGGGAGCAAACAGG
This 253-nucleotide ribosomal RNA is filed under the name uncultured bacterium. Its description in RNAcentral is "partial 16S ribosomal RNA". It matches the Rfam family "Bacterial small subunit ribosomal RNA", at positions 524 to 776 of the family's 1533-position model. The record is from RNAcentral.